RNAcentral lists this ribosomal RNA (450 nucleotides) under Triticum aestivum (bread wheat). Its description in RNAcentral is "partial small subunit ribosomal RNA". Lineage: Eukaryota; Viridiplantae; Streptophyta; Magnoliopsida; Poales; Poaceae. The record is from RNAcentral.
AUGAAUAUUUUAUCAUGGAACUACCGGGGGGGCCGUUGGACAGCUCGUGAGGUGUUGGCCCUCUCAAAAGCCAAUAACCCCAAGCUAGUAUUCCUUUCCAAGAAUACUAGACAAGAUGCUAGGAAAGUUGAAAAACUGAAGUGGAGACUUGGUUUGAAAGGUUUUCAUGGUAUGAGUAGUGAUGGCAGAAGCGGUGGAUUGGCUUUGUUCUGGGAUGAAUCCUUAUCUGUAACAGUACUUGAAGCUUGUCAUUUCAUUGAUGUCAGAAUUGUGGAUGUGGGUUCAGCUACUACUUGGAGAGGGACCUUUGUGUAUGGAGAGCCUAGAGUGGAAAAUAGGCAGCGCAUGUGGGAUCACUUACGCCGCCUUCGUGCUAUGUCGCAGGAUCCGUGGUUUGUCUAUGGUGACUAUAGUGAGGCACUAUGGCAGCAUGAGCAUGCUACAUCUUGA